This 301-nucleotide ribosomal RNA is filed under the name uncultured bacterium. Its description in RNAcentral is "partial 16S ribosomal RNA". It matches the Rfam family "Bacterial small subunit ribosomal RNA", at positions 509 to 807 of the family's 1533-position model. The record is from RNAcentral.
CAGCAGCCGCGGUAAUACGAAGGGGGCUAGCGUUGUUCGGAUUUACUGGGCGUAAAGCGCACGUAGGCGGACUUUUAAGUCAGGGGUGAAAUCCCGGGGCUCAACCCCGGAACUGCCUUUGAUACUGGAAGUCUUGAGUAUGGUAGAGGUGAGUGGAAUUCCGAGUGUAGAGGUGAAAUUCGUAGAUAUUCGGAGGAACACCAGUGGCGAAGGCGGCUCACUGGACCAUUACUGACGCUGAGGUGCGAAAGCGUGGGGAGCAAACAGGAUUAGAUACCCCCGUAGUCCCUGUCUCUUAUAC